AACGAACGCUGGCGGCAUGCCUAACACAUGCAAGUCGAACGAAACCUUCGGGUCUAGUGGCGCAAGUGUGCGUAACGCGUGGGAACCUGCCCUUAGGUUCGGAAUAACUCCCCGAAAGGGGUGCUAAUACCGGAUAAUGUCUUCGGACCAAAGAUUUAUCGCCUUUGGGUGGGCUCGCGUUGGAUUAGCUAGUUGGUAGGGUAACAGCCUACCAAGGCGACGAGCCAUAGCUGGUCUGAGGAUGAUCAGCCACACUGGGACUGAGACACGGCCCAGACUCCUACGGGAGGCAGCAGUGGGGAAUAUUUGACAAUGGGCGAAAGCCUGAUCCAGCAAUGCCGCGUGAGUGAUGAAGGCCUUAGGGUUGUAAAGCUCUUUUACCCGGGAUGAUAAUGACAGUACCGGGAGAAUAAGCUCCGGCUAACUCCGUG
Molecule: ribosomal RNA, 431 nt
Filed under: uncultured bacterium
Lineage: Bacteria
Description: partial 16S ribosomal RNA
Rfam family: Bacterial small subunit ribosomal RNA
Source: RNAcentral